UUGACGAAGCUGUCUUUGGAGCCACUGAUCAAGAUAUUGUGUUGGGACAUGAAUGCGAUUUGGGUAAUUGGGCCCUUGUGACCUGAGAGUCUACAAAGCCCAGUUUCGGCCACCGUAUCCCACACGAUAACGUCCGUGUCCUAUCCUGAGGCCAAUUUGUGUCCGUAACUAUCGAAAGCCAAAGUUGUGACUUCUGACCGAUGGCCUGAGAAAAUGCUAAUCACUUCGGCCGACUUCAAAUCGUAGACUUGGACGUUGCCAUCGGAGUAACCGACCGCUAGGUGUCUUUUAUUGGGGCUGGCACAGAUGGCUGUCACUGUGGCCUUUUCUCCUGGGAGCACCUGAGCCUGGAAGAAUGUGCAUCACGGAAUGGCUGUUAACCAAGAAAUACAAACUUUCUCCCCGAGUCGCAAGUCCCAAAUUAUCACAUGUUCGCAUGCACCGACCGCCACAAAUCUUCCUUCUUGUCCUUCAAGUGUGACAAAUUUGAGAUUGCAGUUUUGGCUCGCGAUUAUAUUAAAGUUGCCGGCCGGGACGUAUCUUAGGUAUUGCUUUGUUAAACCCAUCUUGUAACUGUGUGGAACUGAAUUUUUUUUCACAUGCCGUUUGUAAAAAGUUAGGUUAAGUUAAACAUAACCACACAAAAAUUGGUUAAUUAUAUUUAUGUCAAAAUUUGAGUUGUGGCGUCAUCUAGCGCAAUAGAUAUGAGUGUACUAGAUACUCUAUGGAAAACUGUAAUUACAUAGUCAUUAUUACAGAUUCCAGUAAAAAAAUAUUGUGUUGACAUUUUACAGGAACCUGUUAUUAAACAAUCACUAUUACAGAUUCCUGUAAAAAAGGUUGUCUGUUAGAUACUUUACAGGAAACUAAUUACUACAGAUUUCUGUAAAAAAUAUUGUGUCAAGAUUUUUUAAUAAUUGUUCACGUUAUUAGAAAUCCAACAAAACCGAAAAUUUUGUAUCAGGAUAACUCACUUUUCGGUAGGAAAAAAUAUGUACAAAUUGUUGUAGUAUAUAAUUAUAAUUAAUAGUCGCUUUGGCACUCAAUAAAGUAUACAAUUUUCUAUCAAA
This is a long non-coding RNA of Tribolium castaneum (red flour beetle), 1070 nucleotides long. RefSeq lists it as uncharacterized. The transcript has 2 exons. NCBI's taxonomy places the organism in Eukaryota, Metazoa, Arthropoda, Insecta, Coleoptera, Tenebrionidae. The record is from RefSeq and is a predicted model, not a curated record.